GGAAUAUUCCGCAAUGGGCGAAAGCCUGACGGAGCAACGCCGCGUGAGUGAAGAAGGUCUUCGGAUCGUAAAGCUCUGUCAACAGGGACGAAACAAGACGGUACCUGAGAAGGAAGCCACGGCAAACUACGUGCCAGCAGCCGCGGUAAUACGUAGGUGGCAAGCGUUGUCCGGAAUAACUGGGCGUAAAGCGCAUGUAGACGGCAUGAUAAGCCAAAUGUGAAAUGUAGGGGCUCAACCCCUACACUGCGAUUGGAACUGUCAAGCUUGAGUGCAGGAGAGGCAAAUGGAAUUCCCAGUGUAGCAGUGAAAUGCGUAGAGAUUGGGAGGAACACCAGUGGCGAAGGCGAUUUGCUGGACUGCAACUGACGUUGAGAUGCGAAAGCGAGGGAGACGAAA
Molecule: ribosomal RNA, 399 nt
Filed under: uncultured bacterium
Lineage: Bacteria
Description: bacterial SSU rRNA
Rfam family: Bacterial small subunit ribosomal RNA
Source: RNAcentral